CCUACGGGGGGCAGCAGUGAGGACUAUUGGUCAAUGGUCGCGAGCCUGAACCAGCAAAGUCGCGUGAGGGAAGACGGUCCUAUGGAUUGUAACCCUCUUUUGUCGGGGAGCAAAAGACGCAACGCGUGGCGUUCAGAGGGUACCCGAAGAAAAAGCAUCGGCUACCUCCGUGCCAGCAGACGCGGUAAUACGGAGGAUGCGAGCGUUAGCCGGAUUUGUUGGGUUAAAAGGGUGCGCAGGCGGAAGAUCAAGUCAGCGGUAAAAGUGAGAGGCUCAACCUCUGCGUGCCGUUGAAACUGGUUUUCUUGAGUGAGCGAGAAGUAUGCGGAAUGCGGGGUGUAGCGGUGAAAUGCAUAGAUAUCACGCAGAACUCCGAUUGCGAAGGCAGCAUACCGGCGCUCAACUGACGCUCAGGCACGAAAGUGUGGGUAUCGAACAGGAUUAGAUACCCCUGUAGUC
RNAcentral lists this ribosomal RNA (459 nucleotides) under uncultured bacterium. Its description in RNAcentral is "partial 16S ribosomal RNA". It matches the Rfam family "Bacterial small subunit ribosomal RNA", at positions 338 to 795 of the family's 1533-position model. The record is from RNAcentral.